GUGGGGAAUAUUGGACAAUGGGCGCAAGCCUGAUCCAGCCAUGCCGCGUGAGUGAUGAAGGCCUUAGGGUUGUAAAGCUCUUUCAGUGGGGACGAUAAUGACGGUACCCACAGAAGAAGCCCCGGCUAACUUCGUGCCAGCAGCCGCGGUAAUACGAAGGGGGCUAGCGUUGUUCGGAUUUACUGGGCGUAAAGCGCACGUAGGCGGAUCGUUAAGUCGGGGGUGAAAUCCUGGAGCUCAACUCCAGAACUGCCUUCGAUACUGGCGAUCUUGAGUCCGGAAGAGGUGAGUGGAACUCCGAGUGUAGAGGUGGAAUUCGUAGAUAUUAGGAAGAACACCAGUGGCGAAGGCGGCUCACUGGUCCGGUACUGACGCUGAGGUGCGAAAGCGUGGGGAGCAAACAGGAUUAGAAACCCUUGUAGUCC
Molecule: ribosomal RNA, 425 nt
Filed under: uncultured bacterium
Lineage: Bacteria
Description: partial 16S ribosomal RNA
Rfam family: Bacterial small subunit ribosomal RNA
Source: RNAcentral